ACUCCUACGGGAGGCAGCAGUGGGGAAUAUUGCACAAUGGGCGCAAGCCUGAUGCAGCCAUGCCGCGUGUAUGAAGAAGGCCUUCGGGUUGUAAAGUACUUUCAGCAGUGAGGAAGGCGGAGUCGUUAAUAGCGGCCUCGUUUGACGUUAGCUGCAGAAGAAGCACCGGCUAACUCCGUGCCAGCAGCCGCGGUAAUACGGAGGGUGCGAGCGUUAAUCGGAAUUACUGGGCGUAAAGCGCAUGCAGGUGGUUUGUUAAGUCAGAUGUGAAAGCCCGGGGCUCAACCUCGGAAUUGCAUUUGAAACUGGCAGCUAAGAGUACUGUAGAGGGGGGUAGAAUUUCAGGUGUAGCGGUGAAAUGCGUAGAGAUCUGAAGGAAUACCGGUGGCGAAGGCGGCCCCCUGGACAGAUACUGACACUCAGAUGCGAAA
This 431-nucleotide ribosomal RNA is filed under the name uncultured bacterium. RNAcentral describes it as "bacterial SSU rRNA". It matches the Rfam family "Bacterial small subunit ribosomal RNA", at positions 335 to 758 of the family's 1533-position model. The record is from RNAcentral.